Molecule: unclassified non-coding RNA, 383 nt
Filed under: uncultured Caryophanales bacterium
Lineage: Bacteria; Bacillati; Bacillota; Bacilli; Caryophanales
Description: uncultured Bacillales bacterium contains 16S-23S intergenic spacer region
Source: RNAcentral
UCCGAGUUGACCCCGGCUGUCUCUCUAGAGUGCCCAGCUUUACCUGCUGGCAACUAAAGAUAAGGGUUGCGCUCGUUGCGGGACUGAACCCAACAUCUCACGACACGAGCUGACGACAACCAUGCACCACCUGUCACCUUUGUCUCCCGAAGGAGAAAGGUAUAUCUCUAUACCGGGCAAAGGGAUGUCAAGCCUUGGUAAGGUUCUUCGCGUUGCAUCGAAUUAAACCACAUGCUCCACCGCUUGUGCGGGCCCCCGUCAAUUCCUUUGAGUUUCAACCUUGCGGUCGUACUCCCCAGGCGGAGUGCUUAUUGGGUUUCCUUCGGCACUGAGGGUAUUGAAACCCCCAACACCUAGCACUCAUCGUUUACGGCGUGGACUAC